This 460-nucleotide ribosomal RNA is filed under the name uncultured bacterium. Its description in RNAcentral is "partial 16S ribosomal RNA". It matches the Rfam family "Bacterial small subunit ribosomal RNA", at positions 338 to 795 of the family's 1533-position model. The record is from RNAcentral.
CCUACGGUGUGCUGCAGUGAGGAAUAUUGGUCAAUGGACGAGAGUCUGAACCAGCCAAGUCGCGUGAAGGAUGACUGCCCUAUGGGUUGUAAACUUCUUUUAUAUGGGAAUAAAAUAUUCCACGCGUGGGAUUUUGUAUGUACCCUAUGAAUAAGGAUCGGCUAACUCCGUGCCAGCAGCCGCGGUAAUACGGAGGAUACGAGCGUUAUACGGAUUUAUUGGGUUUAAAGGGAGCGUAGGUGGAUUGUUAAGUCAGUUGUAAACUUUUGCGGCUCAACCGUAAAAUUGCAGUUGAAACUGGCAGUAUUGAGUACAGUAGAGGUAGGCGGAAUGCGUGGUGUAGCGGUGAAAUGCUUAGAUAUCACGAAGAACUCCGAUUGCGAAGGCAGCUCACUGGACUACAACUGACACUGAGGCACGAAAGUGUGGGGAUCAAACAGGAUUAGAUACCCCUGUAGUC